Long non-coding RNA from Glycine soja, 710 nucleotides. RefSeq lists it as uncharacterized. The transcript is spliced from 2 exons. NCBI's taxonomy places the organism in Eukaryota, Viridiplantae, Streptophyta, Magnoliopsida, Fabales, Fabaceae. The record is from RefSeq and is a predicted model, not a curated record.
UAUAGGCCUACUCUAUGUGUUCGACACUGAUAGUCGUACAAAAUGUCUCUGACACACUACUCCAGUGUCAGAUUAAAAUAUAAUUUUUUUGGGGCUUCAACACUUUAACACACCGCUUUAAUAGGGCUUCAGUGGAAAAUUUGUUUUUUGAAAAUUUUAAAACACAAAUUUCAAAUUUAGAAAGUAGAAAGACAAAAACUUAUCGCAUAUGCUUCUCUUCUUUGCUGGUACGAGACCUUUUGAUUUUUUGUUGCCCAUUGUUGCACUGACUUCUCUCAACUGUUCUUGUUAAUGGUCUUCCAAGCUUGCGUUUAGAUUUUGGUAGAAAUUGGACAAGUUGGGUACCGUGAAUCCGCUGCACUUCAAUGUGAGUAAAAAGAGUUGAGGGUCUCCAACUGCUCCUUCAAAGCUCCACCAUGACCACAACACCAACAAGGUUAAGGCUACGACCUUGAGUUGCACCAUUUUCUUGUGAUUCUUAAUUAAGGGUUCAAAAGACCGGUUUGAUAUAGGCCUCAAAGAAAAAAGUCUAGUUGUCGAUGAUGUUCAUGCGUGGGUUGAUUAAGGUUGUCCAAGUCUAAGAUCUGACAUAUGGAGGAAGACUAGUGUUUCUGUUAGCUAUGUAUGUAUAAGAAAGAAGUUUAGUCAUUUUUUUAUAAUAUUCUAUUAGGUAAAAUUUAUAAAUGAAAUCAUUUAAAAUUUUAUACGUA